Molecule: ribosomal RNA, 793 nt
Filed under: uncultured bacterium
Lineage: Bacteria
Description: bacterial SSU rRNA
Rfam family: Bacterial small subunit ribosomal RNA
Source: RNAcentral
AGAGUUUGAUCCUGGCUCAGAUUGAACGCUGGCGGCAGGCCUAACACAUGCAAGUCGAGCGGUAGAGAGAAGCUUGCUUCUCUUGAGAGCGGCGGACGGGUGAGUAAUGCCUAGGAAUCUGCCUAGUGGUGGGGGAUAACGUUCGGAAACGGACGCUAAUACCGCAUACGUCCUACGGGAGAAAGCGGGGGACCUUCGGGCCUCGCGCCAUUAGAUGAGCCUAGGUCGGAUUAGCUAGUUGGUGAGGUAAUGGCUCACCAAGGCGACGAUCCGUAACUGGUCUGAGAGGAUGAUCAGUCACACUGGAACUGAGACACGGUCCAGACUCCUACGGGAGGCAGCAGUGGGGAAUAUUGGACAAUGGGCGAAAGCCUGAUCCAGCCAUGCCGCGUGUGUGAAGAAGGUCUUCGGAUUGUAAAGCACUUUAAGUUGGGAGGAAGGGUAGUAACUUAAUACGUUGCUACUUUGACGUUACCGACAGAAUAAGCACCGGCUAACUUCGUGCCAGCAGCCGCGGUAAUACGGAGGGUGCAAGCGUUGUUCGGAUUUACUGGGCGUAAAGGGCGCGUAGGCGGUCUUAUAAGUCAUAUGUGAAAGCCCACGGCUCAACCGUGGAAGUGCAUGUGAAACUGUGAGACUUGAGUAUGGGAGAGGAAAGUGGAAUUCCCGGUGUAGAGGUGAAAUUCGUAGAUAUCGGGAGGAAUACCGGUGGCGAAGGCGACUUUCUGGACCAAUACUGACGCUGAGGCGCGAAAGCGUGGGUAGCAAACAGGAUUAGAUACCCUGGUAGUCC